Molecule: long non-coding RNA, 2560 nt
Organism: Oreochromis niloticus (Nile tilapia)
Lineage: Eukaryota; Metazoa; Chordata; Actinopteri; Cichliformes; Cichlidae
Source: Ensembl
AUGGCCUCUGGUUUUCUCCGUUAUAGCAGAUUUGUUGACAUACUGACUUUGUUAAACACACAUUGUAUUUCCAGGGUGCUGUUGCUCUCACUGUUGGCCUUCAGCAAGCAUGCUGAGUCUCUUACUUACAGGAGUACCUACUCCAGUGGUAUUAAGCCUUACUCUGGGAUGGCUGAGAAUUUUCCACACAACCAGAAUCCUGUUUUCAGACAUAAGAGCUAUGCACAACCCCGAAGUUCUCUGGGUGUUUAUGGGCCUGAACAUGGGUCACCUGAGAAUUCUUACCCCACUGCUGCAGGUAUGCCUGGUGGUGCUGGUGCUUCCUCUGGUGGGCCAUUAAAUGGUUACCAUCAACAAGGAAGCAUGUCUAGCUACAGAUCUGGCUCAUCACAUUACCAGGGGGAUACUGAUGGUGCCCUCCAGUCCAAAGAUGCCAUGUGGGGUUUAGCUUCACCCCAGAAAAGAAACCGGAUUGACACAGGAAUUGUCUCAAGUUAUCCAAUUGAGAUGCGUUCUGUGCCCCAGUGGCAAAGUAAUGAGCACCAGACCCAGCCACACCCUGAGCGAGAACAGUUUAGCGACUUUCAGUCUCGCCCGCUGCCCCAGCAGCCGCGCUACGAGGCCAGCAAGCCCCAGGCCCGGCCUUUCCCCCAGCAGCCGCGCUACGAGGCCAGCAAGCCCCAGGCCCGGCCUUUCCCCCAGCAGCCGCGCUACGAGGCCAGCAAGCCCCAGGCCCAUCCGCGCAGUGAGGCCAAUUCUCCAAGUGAAGAUGUGCUGCAAAACAAAGCUAGCAUGUGGGACUUGGCUAUUAACUCCAAUGCUGAUCCAAGAAGUUUGAGACCCAUUCAAGUUUCAUCAAGUUAUCUCUACAGCUGGCCACAGCAACAGGCACCCUUCUACAACAGAUAUUAACAAUAGGUUUCUGACCUCACCUGUGAACAGCUGGUUUUGGCUUGGCAUCAGAUUUUGUGAUAUCAAUAAAGUACACAGAACUACACUCCCUGGCUGCUGUUUAAAGCUCCUUUGACCAUGAGUAAGUUCAGUUUUAUGCAUGCUCUCAUGAUAAACUGAGCUGCUCUAUAGAUCUAGGCUUGUACUGUUGCUACCAUAAUGUUGCCUUCCAGUAUACAAACUGAAGCUGUAAGCCCCAAAGACUGUCACAGAAUUGUCUUACAGUUGUGUAGCUUAGCAAAGCAAAUCUGCUUAGCUUGUCUUAAUGUUUCAACAAGUGUUCAGUGUUCACAACCACAAUUUUCACUUCAAGAACAAGGGGUGGAAACAUGGCAGUUUAAUGCCUUCUAUCAAUGGCAAAAAUUACAGUCCACUCAGGACUACAACCAACCAGAUGCUAAACGAAAAAUGGUGGUAGUCUGCCAAGCAGGUGCUCACUAUCAGGGAAAAUUAGGGAUUAGCAUCAACCAAGGCAGCUCAAAGCACAAGCAGCAAUAUAGCUUUGAAAGGUGUGGGUGUCAGUUUUUGGGUCCCAAUUGUGAACUAUGACCAUUCCUUCAACAUCAGUGUCACAUUAGCUGUUCUCUUUUUCUGCCUUAAAGUAAAUUGUCCUAAUGGGCUCAUAUUAAAGUUUGUUUUUAUUCUAUAGAGAUUCUCAUCUCACUAUUCAUGUGCCAUAUUUGUCCUUAUGCAAGAAGACUUGAGUCUUGAGUAUUAAUAUAAAUAUCUCAUGGAUUUAUGAUAUUCAUCAAAUGCUACUUCUUUGUCUUUUCACUUUUCUGCUGCUUCUUGCCCAAACACCGUCCCACCCCUCCUCCUCUCUGAUAGCUGUUAUUAGUUUAGUCGUCUCCAGUUUGGGGAGAUAAUGACAGUGCUGUUUUUUGGACACUGACUUCCUGUGUGUGUGGUGUUUCUCCCUGUCAUUAAGCAGCAAGUCUGUGUGGUUAAAAUGACACAGCUUUGACUGCAGGAAACACUGCCAACUUCACCAUCCGAUCCCAGCUCCAAUAAACUACUCACUGCUGGUUUUCAGCUUUCAUACUGUCUGUUGCUUGUUUGGGGGUUUCAGCAUAUUUUCCUUUACUUGAGUUUUACAAUAAAGAUAUUAUAGAUAUUUUAUAGCACACUGCUUACAGUACACUGUUGUGGUCUUUGCUUUACAUCAAAUGAAAAUGCACUUUAGUCAAAAGCACAUUGCACUUCAUCUGCAGUGACAUAUUUGUUGUAUGGAUCUUUUACUGGACGUCCCACAAUGUCAUUUAUACAGCGCCAAAUCGCAACAACAGUCACCUCAAGGCGCUUUAUAUUGUAAGGUUAACCCUACAAUAAUACAUACAGAGAAAAACCCAACAAUCAUAUGACCCCCUAUGAGCAAGCACUUUGGCAACAGUGGGAAGGAAAAACUCCCUUUUAACAGGAAGAAACCUCCGGCAGAAACUGCAUGAAAGGCUGUGGUUUGCAAGGUACCAGAUGUAAAGCAACCAAGGCAGAUACAGCUGCUUAAAUCAGUCAAACUCUAUUGAACAUUACUUUUCAAAGUGUUUCACAGAUUAUUAAAAAGCUGAUAAAACAAAUGGCAUGCUUUAAUAACGGACAUAGAAUUAACAAC